GCCGUGGUAACUCAGUUGGGAGAGUGCGUGACUGAAGAUCACGAAGUCGCUGGUUCGAGCCCGGCUCACGGCACCA
RNAcentral lists this transfer RNA (76 nucleotides) under Thermoplasmata archaeon. RNAcentral's name for it is "tRNA-Phe". It matches the Rfam family "tRNA". Rfam says of the family: Transfer RNA (tRNA) molecules are approximately 80 nucleotides in length. Lineage: Archaea; Methanobacteriati; Thermoplasmatota; Thermoplasmata. RNAcentral also lists the same sequence under 5 other names. The record is from RNAcentral.